Molecule: long non-coding RNA, 584 nt
Filed under: Amborella trichopoda
Lineage: Eukaryota; Viridiplantae; Streptophyta; Magnoliopsida; Amborellales; Amborellaceae
Description: long non-coding RNA (ATRI_LNC005093)
Source: RNAcentral
UCCGUACGGAAUCGCCGAUUCACUGUUCGGACUCGCCGAUUCCGUACAGUGAAUCGGCGAUUCACUGUACAGAAUCGUCCGGUUCUCUCUAGAACCGGACUAUUUCCGUUUUUUGGGCGAUCCGGUUCCUUUUUCACUAUUUCCGAGUCGAACCGGGCGAGUCCGGUUCGACUCGGCGUUUUUUAAAACGCUGCUUCUGAGUAAGGGUGGCAAUGGACCCGUACCCGACCCAGACCCACCCGGUAUACCGGACAUGGGUCCGGGUAUGGGUCCAACAUUUGGACCCGACAGGUCGGUCCAGUUCCAAAACUUGGACCCGAACACUAUUCGAGUCUAGGUCCGGGUCCGAUUGGUCCCGACCCGUACCCAACCCAUACCCAUAAAUCGUUGGAGAUAAAAUACUUUAAGCCCUAUUCAUUUGGGUAUAUUAAGGGUGGUAUACAAUACGACUCUCGGUGUCCUUUAACAAUUAAAUGAAAAAUUAGAUGGUUUGUUAGCUAUUAAAUAACAAAGUAGACGGCUUGAAAUCUAAUGGCGGGUGGUUGUGACCUUCUUGCCAAUAAUGCGGACAUAUGAUGGUAAAA